This 674-nucleotide ribosomal RNA is filed under the name Oedemeridae sp. UPOL001089. Its description in RNAcentral is "eukaryotic LSU rRNA". It matches the Rfam family "Eukaryotic large subunit ribosomal RNA", at positions 654 to 1274 of the family's 3401-position model. Lineage: Eukaryota; Metazoa; Arthropoda; Insecta; Coleoptera; Oedemeridae. The record is from RNAcentral.
UUGAAACACGGACCAAGGAGUCUAGCAUGUGCGCGAGUCAUUGGGAAAUGACUAAACCUAAAGGCGCAAUGAAAGUGAAAGUUCGUCUUGCACGGACCUAGGGAGGAUGGGCGGCAGGUCUGUAUGGAUCUUCGCUCCGCACUCCCGGGGCGUCUCGUUCUCAUUGCGAGAAGAGGCGCACCAAGAGCGUACACGCUGGGACCCGAAAGAUGGUGAACUAUGCCUGGUCAGGACGAAGCCAGGGGAAACCCUGGUGGAGGUCCGUAGCGAUUCUGACGUGCAAAUCGAUCGUCGGAACUGGGUAUAGGGGCGAAAGACUAAUCGAACCAUCUAGUAGCUGGUUCCCUCCGAAGUUUCCCUCAGGAUAGCUGGCGCUCGUCGUUGACGAGUUUCAUCCGGUAAAGCGAAUGAUUAGAGGCAUUGGGGUCGAAACGGCCUCAACCUAUUCUCAAACUUUAAAUGGGUGAGAUCUUCGGCUUGCUCGAACUAUUAUUUUGAAGCCGCAAGAUUUGAAUCAGAGUGCCAAGUGGGCCAUUUUUGGUAAGCAGAACUGGCGCUGUGGGAUGAACCAAACGUAGAGUUAAAGCGCCUAAAUCGACGCUUAUGGGAUACCAUGAAAGGCGUUGGUAACUUAAGACAUCAGGACGGUGGCCAUGGAAGUCGGAAUCCGCUAA